RNAcentral lists this long non-coding RNA (1822 nucleotides) under Mus musculus (house mouse). RNAcentral's name for it is "long non-coding RNA chrX:139752396-139754218". The record is from RNAcentral. Lineage: Eukaryota; Metazoa; Chordata; Mammalia; Rodentia; Muridae.
GGAUUGAGCACUCGGUGUUUAACGCUACUAACUCUGUUGCUGAUAAACACAAAUCAAGAAGUCUAAAUUCUGGGCUGAUAUAAAGAAAAACAACACCAGAUUUAGACUUAAAUCAAAUAAAGCCAGCAUUUUGAAAAGAAAGGUUAGAAGACAGUUUAGUUAACUAUAUAGCUCUUUCAGUUAGACUGAGACACAAAUAAAAAUUCUCUAGAGUGGCAUUGUUUAUUGCUUUGGUUUCAGAAUAGCUUCUGAUUGCUUGUGUCCCAGCUUUGUAGUUUGAAUUUUUACCCAUUGUAUUUUAAUUUAUAGUAGGUAGUGUGGAAGAGUUUCACUAAGACUGAAUUGCUGUAUUAGUCUGGCAAGCAUGUAAAGUAUACUUCAUGUAAUACUUACUAGGGUACUAUAUAGAAUUGCCAGCAUCUACCUAAAAAGGUUAGACUUAGAUGUGCAAUUUUUACAUACUUUAUGCUUUUUCUAUGGCAGUCCAUUUAAAUAUAUAUGGACGCUGAUAGCACUUUCAAAAGAACAAAACAACAAACAAACAAAAACAAGCAAUCCAUGCAGACCUGACCUGUCUUCUGCCGCUUUUGAAGAGGGACUUAUUUAGCAGUUGACUUGGGAAAUGGGGCAGGAACCAGUGUGUGGAGCUUCUGUCUUCACACUAGACUUGGAUUUCGAGCCUCUGACUUGGCUAGAAGGGAAACAAUGAAAGGAUAGACUUCCUUCAUGGUGACCAAACAAGUCUCCCUUUCUGGGAAAGAAUUGGCAUGGUCAGUCUUUGACAAGAACGUACUGUGACUAAAACCUAACUGUGUUACCAUACCACAUACUAUUUUCAGUGAAGCUAAGCACUUCUCAAAUUGUGUCUUUGAAAAUUCCUAUGUAUCAGGAGAUGGCCUAAUCGGCCAUCAGUAGAAAGAGAGGCCCAUUGGUCGUGCAAACUUUAUAUGCCCCAGUACAGGGGAACACCAGGGCCAAAAAGUGGGAGUGGCGGGGGGAGGGUAUGGGGGACUUUUGGGAUAGCAUUGUAAAUGUAAAUGAAGAAAAUACCUAAUUAAAAUUAAAAAAAAAUAAAUUUAAAAAAUCCCUUAAUGUAAUCCACUAUAUAAACAAACUCAAAGGAAAAAAAAAAAGAAAGAAAAUUCCUAAGUUGAAUUUGGUCAAAUGCUGGUAGCAUCUUUAAGAUUUGAUUAUGCUGUCUUUUCAAGGACAUGACUACUUAAAAGAGAUAGUUGAAAACUAAGCCUUUCUGCCUCAACUCAGAGAUGAUUAGCUAAAAUAUGUCCCAAUUUUCAAUCCUAGUUGAUAGUUUAUGUGAGAACCAUCACACAUCUACCAUUAUGCAAUGAUUGUUAAAUUAUACGAUGAUAGCUCUAGAAAAACAUAUGGUCCGCGCUUGUAUACAAAGAUACUGUUAUACACACUUUGUUGAAUAUUUUGUCAGUUGUAUUUACAACAGAUACUUUCUUAAGAGAAUAUGUUGUUAGUUUUUGAUAUUAUUUUAAAGUCAAAAUGGUAAAGAUUACUGAAUAUUGUAUUUUAGUCUUGAUCAAUAAAAAAUAAAUAAAGAGAUUUUUUGAAUUUCAAGAAGAUUAUAAAUGAAAGCAAGACAACAAUGUAUUUUCCGAGUCUGCAGGAGAAGGAAGCAAAACAUGUUCUAGUUUUAUAGCUGCUGCUUUGUUAAGCAAAUGAGUUGUUCACAAUAUUCAAAAUAUUUUGUUGUGUCAAACUGGACCAGUGCAUUAUGCCUUUUACCUUAAAUGUUAUAACAUGACUUUGUCUUUAUAAAACUAAGUAUUAAAAAUCUAUUAUAUUAAAUAUG